UUUUUUUUUUGUUGUUGUUGUUGUUGCUAUUUCUUGGGCCAAUCCCGAGGCAUAUGGAGGUUCCCAGGCUAGGGGUCCAAUUGGAGCUGUAGCCACCGGCCUACGCCAGAGCCACAGCAACGUGGGAUCCGAGCCGCAUCUGCAACCUACACCACAGCUCACGGCAAUGCUGGAUCGUUAACCCACUGAGCAAGGGCAGUGAUUUAAGGAUCCGGGGUUGCUUUGAGCCGUGGUGUAUGUAGGUCACAGACAUGGCUUAGAUCUGGCAUUGCUGUGGCUGUGGUGUAGGCCAACAGCUACAGCUCCAAUCUGACCCCUAGCCUGGGAACUUCCAUAUGCUGGGGUAUGGCCCUAAAGAAACAAAAAUAAAAUAAAAGGACUGCAGCAUUAUAAGAUAUAAUUCACAAACUCCAAAGAUCUAUAAUAUGAGGCAAUUAGUCAUUUUACCCCAUAUAAGGGGGAAGAAAGGUUACACAGCUAUUAAGCGGCAAAGCCAGAAUUCAAACCAAGUUUAUCUGAAUCCAAAAGCUAUACUUAUUCCACUGAUACUUACUGAGGGAGUACUACAUGUCAGGCACUGGGGUAUGUCCAGAGAAAGAGUAUAUUAAUUAACAACAUGUCAGGGAUAGAAGUUCCCAUCAUGGCUCAGCAGUUAGCAAAUCUGACUAGCAUCCAUGAGGACUUGGGUUCAAUCCCAGGUCUCGCUCAGUGGGUUAAGGAUCUGCCGUUGCCAAGAGCUGUGGUGUAGCUUGCAGAUGAGGCUUGGAUCCCAAGUUGCUGUGGUUGUGGUGCAGGCCGAAGGUUGUAGCUCUGAUUGGACCCCUAGCCUGGGAACCUCCAUAUGCCGCAGGUGUGGCGACAAAAAGACCAAAAAAAAAAAAAAAGAAGAAGAAUACACCAGGGAUAUGAAGAAAUUUAGCAGGUUAAGCGGAAUUCCAAGUGCCAGGGGUGAGAGGACUAUUUUAUACUGGAUGAUCAAGGAAGGCUUCUCAGAGGAAACUACAUUUGAACAAAUAUUUGAGAGAAAAAAAGGAAGUGAGCCAUAAGCAACGUGAAGAAGAGCACUCCAAGCAGAGGAAGUAACAGGGGCAGAGACUCCGAGGCAGGAACAGCAAGGAGGCCCAUGAGGCCAUAGGGAAACGAGGGUGGGGUGUAGAGUGUGGAGGUGGAUGAUAUAAGGCCUUCCUGGUCAUUAUCAGCAAUUUCAGAUUGUAUUCUGAAUAAAAAAAGGAAGCCACAGAAAGAAUGAGUGAAGUGACAUUUGACUGCUAUUUUGAAUCUAAAUAAUGAGUUGAGAAAAGACGGUGAGGGCACAGGACAAGGCAGGGAAACCAGUUAGGAAGCUGUUGAUAUAAUGCAGAUGACAGAUGAUGAUUUACAUCAGGUAAUGAUGCAGAAGAGCAGACAAUUGGAUUCAGUUUUGUUGUUGUUUUUGGCCCUGCAGCAUG
Molecule: long non-coding RNA, 1448 nt
Filed under: Sus scrofa (pig)
Lineage: Eukaryota; Metazoa; Chordata; Mammalia; Artiodactyla; Suidae
Description: lncRNA (ENSSSCG00005005819.1)
Source: RNAcentral